GGUUUCUUGAAUUAAUAUUUAAAAAUAUGAAAUUUGGCCUGCCCACUGAAAUUAAUUUGAAGGGCCGCAGUAUUUUGACUGUGUGAAGGUAGCAUAAUCAUUAGUCUUUUAAUUGAAGGCUUGUAUGAAUGGUUAGACGAGGUAGAUGCUGUUUUAUAAAAAUUAUUAAGUUGAAUUUGGAUUUUAAGUAAAAAUACUUAAAUAUUUUUAAGGGACGAGAAGACCCUAUAGAGUUUAAUUAAUUGUUCUAUAAUGUAGUUAUUAAAGAAUUGUUUUAUGUUAUAUUAAUAAUUUAUUUAAUUGGGGUGCUUAGAGGAUAAAUAAAACUUCUUUAUAUGAUAAAUAUAGAUUUAUAAAUAUUAGAUCCACAGAUGUGUGAUUGAUAGAUAAAAUUACCUUAGGGAUAACAGCAUAAUUUUUUUUGAGAGUUCUUAUCAAGAAAAAAGAUUAUGACCUCGAUGUUGGAUUAAGAUAAAAUUUGGGAGGAGAUGUUCAGUAAUUUAGGUCUGUUCGACCUUUAAAAUCUUACA
This 530-nucleotide ribosomal RNA is filed under the name Macromusonia conspersa. Its description in RNAcentral is "partial 16S ribosomal RNA". It matches the Rfam family "Bacterial large subunit ribosomal RNA", at positions 1819 to 2600 of the family's 2925-position model. The record is from RNAcentral. Lineage: Eukaryota; Metazoa; Arthropoda; Insecta; Mantodea; Thespidae.